GCAGAGAAAGAGUGUGGAAAUAAAAGGUGAAAACCAAAAGAGAAAAGGGGCGAGGGGAUGAAGACAAAGCAGGACGACUAAGACCAUGGAGGGCCCCUUCCUCGGAGCGACGGUGUCAGAGCGCUGGGAGCCACAUUUCUCCAAGCGGCUUGCCUUGGGGAUCCGCUGGGAGCAGUCUGCCUCGCGGCGACACACUGGGUGGCCCUCGGACGGCGGAAGUGGAGCGGAGGCCGCCCUCUUGCCCUUCCUGGCCGCUUGGGCUCCUUGGGAAGGAGGCAGAAACGUGCGUGUCUGCAGCCGCGGCUCUCGGUGGUUGCCCGGCUCAGGGGAGGCAGGGCUGGCGGCAGCGCUGGGCGCUUCCUGCUCCCUGGGCAGGGUGGGGGGCUGGGACCGGGUUGGGGCCGGGUUGAGGCCGGGCUGGGGGUGGGGUUGGGGACUGUUCUCGACCUCGUAGCUCCGGGAGGGUCCUGUGGCCACCUCCUCUGCUGCGGAUUGCUGGACGGGCCAUGCCCACCCCUCACAGCUCCUCCUGCUCCUCUCUCUUGUUGCCGUCUCUUCUCUUGCUAAAUCCUCUCCAGGAGCAGCUCAAGGGGCAACCCCUGCUCGCUGUGGGAGCUCUGGGAAGAGAAUCCAGAGGUUGACAUCCUGGCCCUGGAGCUGCCACUCACCGCCUGAGCAUAGGGGAAUGUGUCGCUUCUUCUUCGUGGGCCUCAGUUUCCUAACCUGUAAAAGGGGAGUGUUGAACGGAAAGUUCUCUCCCAGCUUGUACCCUCAAUGCUCAUCCCGAAAACAUUGAGGGAUGGUUGAGGCCAGCGCUGUGGUGUGGUGGGUAAAGCCACCGCCUGCAGUGCUGGCAUCCCAUAUGGGCGCGGGUUCGCAUCCGGCUGCUCCAUUUCUGAUCUUGCUCUCUGCUGUGGCCUGGGAAAGCAGUAGAAGAUGUCCCAAGUCCUUGGGUCCCUGCACCCGUGUGAAAGACCUGGAGGAAGCUCCUGGCUCCUGGCUUUGGAUCUGCGCAGCUCCGGCCGUUGCAGCCAUCUGGGGAGUGAACCAGAAGAUGGAAGACCUCUCACUCUCUGCCUCUGCCUCUCUGUAACUCUUUCAAAUAAAACAAAUAAAAUCUUAGCCGGCGCCGCGGCU
RNAcentral lists this long non-coding RNA (1137 nucleotides) under Oryctolagus cuniculus (rabbit). RNAcentral describes it as "lncRNA (ENSOCUG00000036360.1)". The record is from RNAcentral. Lineage: Eukaryota; Metazoa; Chordata; Mammalia; Lagomorpha; Leporidae.